Molecule: ribosomal RNA, 847 nt
Filed under: uncultured bacterium
Lineage: Bacteria
Description: bacterial SSU rRNA
Rfam family: Bacterial small subunit ribosomal RNA
Source: RNAcentral
GGCUCAGGAUGAACGCUGGCGGUAUGCUUUACACAUGCAAGUCGUACGAGAGUUUUUAACUCAAGUGGCGGACGGGUGAGUAACACGUAAGAAUUUGCCUUUAGGAGGGGGAUAACAACUGGAAACGGUUGCUAAUACCCCAUAUGCUUUCGAGUGAAAUGGAUUUUUCCGCCUAAAGAGAAGCUUGCGGCUGAUUAGCUUGUUGGUAAGGUAAUGGCUUACCAAGGCGACGAUCAGUAUCUGGUUUGAGAGGACGAUCAGACACACUGGAACUGAGACACGGUCCAGACUCCUACGGGAGGCGGCAGUGGGGAAUUUUCCGCAAUGGGCGAAAGCCUGACGGAGCAAUACCGCGUGAGGGAUGACGGCCUAUGGGUUGUAGACCUCUUUUUUCAGGGAGGAAUAAAAUGACGUGUACCUGAAGAAUAAGCAUCGGCUAACUCCGUGCCAGCAGCCGCGGUAAGACGGAGGAUGCAAGUGUUAUCCGGAAUCACUGGGCGUAAAGCGUCUGUAGGUGGUCUAAUAAGUCAACUGUUAAAUCUUGAGGCUCAACCUCAAAAUCGCAGUCGAAACUAUUAGACUAGAGUAUAGUAGGGGUAAAGGGAAUUUCCAGUGGAGCGGUGAAAUGCGUAGAGAUUGGAAAGAACACCGAUGGCGAAGGCACUUUACUGGGCUAUUACUAACACUCAGAGACGAAAGCUAGGGUAGCAAAUGGGAUUAGAUACCCCAGUAGUCCUAGCUGUAAACCAUGGAUACUAGAUGUUGGACAGAUCGACCUGUGCAGUAUCAAAGCUAACGCGUUAAGUAUCCCGCCUGGGAAGUAUGCUCGCAAGAGUGAAACUCAAAG